RNAcentral lists this ribosomal RNA (844 nucleotides) under Williamsia sp. Its description in RNAcentral is "bacterial SSU rRNA". It matches the Rfam family "Bacterial small subunit ribosomal RNA", at positions 56 to 914 of the family's 1533-position model. The record is from RNAcentral. Lineage: Bacteria; Bacillati; Actinomycetota; Actinomycetes; Mycobacteriales; Nocardiaceae.
UGCAGUCGAACGAUGAAGCCAGCUUGCUGGUGGAUUAGUGGCGAACGGGUGAGUAACACGUGGGUGAUCUGCCCCAAACUUUGGGAUAAGCCUGGGAAACUGGGUCUAAUACCGAAUAUGACCGAUACUCGCAUGGGUGUUGGUGGAAAGCUCCGGCGGUUUGGGAUGGGCCCGCGGCCUAUCAGCUUGUUGGUGGGGUAAUGGCCUACCAAGGCGACGACGGGUAGCCGGCCUGAGAGGGCGACCGGCCACACUGGGACUGAGACACGGCCCAGACUCCUACGGGAGGCAGCAGUGGGGAAUAUUGCACAAUGGGCGCAAGCCUGAUGCAGCGACGCCGCGUGAGGGAUGACGGCCUUCGGGUUGUAAACCUCUUUCACCAGGGACGAAGCGAAAGUGACGGUACCUGGAGAAGAAGCACCGGCCAACUACGUGCCAGCAGCCGCGGUAAUACGUAGGGUGCGAGCGUUGUCCGGAAUUACUGGGCGUAAAGAGCUCGUAGGCGGUUUGUCGCGUCGUUCGUGAAAACUUGGGGCUUAACUCCAAGCGUGCGGGCGAUACGGGCAGACUUGAGUACUACAGGGGAGACUGGAAUUCCUGGUGUAGCGGUGAAAUGCGCAGAUAUCAGGAGGAACACCGGUGGCGAAGGCGGGUCUCUGGGUAGUAACUGACGCUGAGGAGCGAAAGCGUGGGUAGCGAACAGGAUUAGAUACCCUGGUAGUCCACGCCGUAAACGGUGGGUACUAGGUGUGGGUUCCUUUUCACGGGAUCCGUGCCGUAGCUAACGCAUUAAGUACCCCGCCUGGGGAGUACGGCCGCAAGGCUAAAACUCAAAGGAAUUGAC